GAUGGAUGUUGCGACAAUGGGGCAAUGCCUAUCUCACUGCAUCUUGUGGAAGGUGAGCAGUUGUGAAACCACUGCCAUGAGCAUUGGGAGCCAUCAACUACACAAAACCACCAUCUAACUAGACUCAUAAGGGUGUAAUAGUGCAACCACACUUCUACAUCAUCUAUUUCUCACCCUCAUCAUUCCAUGCAUGACCACCACCGCCAUUUCC
Molecule: long non-coding RNA, 211 nt
Filed under: Elaeis guineensis (African oil palm)
Lineage: Eukaryota; Viridiplantae; Streptophyta; Magnoliopsida; Arecales; Arecaceae
Description: long non-coding RNA (EGUI_LNC038244)
Source: RNAcentral